UGUUUGGUUCAUCUUGAGGUAGUCUUAAAGCAAUUAAACCUGUUCUAGCUCCAAUUGUGAUCAAAAUUAUUGUUGUUAACAAUAGAUAGCUCAUAUCUAAUUAUUAUAGAGGACACCUAGGAUAUGAAUAUGAAAUUCAUUUAUUUAAGAAAAAGAAAAAUCAUUAACCAACUCAUUACAAGAAUGUCUAUGGUAAGGAAAAUUUUGGCAUUUAACUUUUGUGAUAAAUAAACAAGUUGGGUAUAAACGAGUUCCUAUGCAUUAUAAACAAGGAUAAAUAAACAAGUAAAGUAUUUCGUUCAUAAUGAAAUGCAAAUGGAACAUUAACGGUUGGUGUAAAUUUAUUCAAAGGAGGACGGUUUGGUUUCACCAAUGCGUCAACAAGGGCAUGAUCAUUAAAUGUUCAAGGAACUUGCCAUUCUUAUGAUCUCUUCAAUACUGUUAUAUUUGUAUUCUUUUUAAUCAUGCAUAUUGUGUAGCAAUUAAAAGAAUGUUGUAAUUUUUUAUGUUCAUUGAAUAUAAACCAACGAAUGAUCUGACUUCUUGAAUGUGAUUAAAAGACCAAAAUCAAUCACUUUUUAAUGCUUUUUCAACUAACCUCUUGCUUAGGGGUUCCACUUGCGAAAUCCAUUACAAUUUGUAAUAGCUUCAUUAACUGUAACUCAUCGGAGCUUAUUAAACUAAUCACAAAUAGUUUAUAAGCUAAUAGUCGAUAUGUAAAUAAAUUUCAAAUAAUAAAACAGUGCGUGAUCAGUUUGUUUACUAAGAAUUAUAUAGAAAAUAAUUUGGCCAAGG
This 795-nucleotide long non-coding RNA is filed under the name Elaeis guineensis (African oil palm). RNAcentral's name for it is "long non-coding RNA (EGUI_LNC010884)". Lineage: Eukaryota; Viridiplantae; Streptophyta; Magnoliopsida; Arecales; Arecaceae. The record is from RNAcentral.